Taeniopygia guttata (zebra finch) is the source of this 2533-nucleotide non-coding RNA. The record is from RefSeq and is a predicted model, not a curated record. Lineage: Eukaryota; Metazoa; Chordata; Aves; Passeriformes; Estrildidae.
UGCUUUAUUUUUUUUUUUUUGUUUGUUUUAAUUACAUAUUCUCCAGUGUCUUGUCUUAUAUGGAAGAAAAGAGAAAUGCCCUAAGGGACCUAGAUUGCUAUUGUGAUCAGCCAAAUUUCUGGAUGAGUGCUUUGAAAAAUAGCUCUUCCAUUGCUAAAACAAUGUGUAUACUCCUCAGCAAUAUUGUGCAAUUCAUCAAUUCUGCAUAGGUUUAUAGGUUGAAAAGAAGUCUAGAGAGAAGGAGCAAACAGAAGAAGAGGACUCUAACUAGGCAAUAAAAGUUAUUAAGUCCCUUUAGUACUCACAAUUUGAAAUGUGCAGUGUGAGAUGUGUCAUUUAGUCACACAUGCACUGUCAGAGCACCCUCAGGGAGCAUUAGUCUGGCACUGAAAGUUACCUUAGCAAUUCUGCUCUGAGAGAGGAAGAAAAGACUGAGCCAGAUGGGGAACGUAAAACUUUUGCCAAAUCAUCUCCAACUUCAGCGGAUUUUUUUUGAUGGAAAAAGAAGAGGAAAACAAGGGAGAAGAGGAUGCUCACAGAGGUUCUUUGCAUAUUUCAGAAUCGAUUUUGUAGUGUUAAUUAAGCUUGUAUUUUCAUUCAUGGUUUAUAUGAACUAGGAGAAUACUAACUCCUACUUGGUUUCCCUUCCUUUUAGCUGAAGGAAAAGAAAGCAAUUUUCAUACCACAGUUCUUGAAUUUGAAAAAGAAAACCAGAGUGGUUUUUGUCAAAUUUAAUGAAGUGCUAAUCAACAAAUCAUUCAAGCUUUGUCCUAAAAUAGCAGAGCUCUCCUGGAGACUGGAAAUGCCUUCAAUUUUGAACAUGAGACCAGAGGACGACAAGUAUAUUGAUUUUUUUUCAUAAUUGUAGUAUACUUUCAGAUUACCCACAUCCAUCAGGUUGGAGCUUGACUACCUUUCUCUUAAGACAAAUUAAUAUGCCCAAAUUUUUCAAUAAGUUUGUGAAUAUGAAAUAACUGCUAUGAAAAAGAAAAAAGAAGAUUAAUUUUGUAUUAUAAGACUGUAGGUUAGCUUGAUCGUGUUGACAUACACUGUACUCAUAGAAUCAUAGAAUUUUUUGGGUAGCAUGGGACCUUUAAAGGUCAGCUAAUCCAAACCCCUGCAGUGAUCAGUACAAUGUAACAUGCUGACACUAGCAGCAUGCUUUGGAUCCUCCUAAUUUUUGAUGAUUGGCAAGGGGUGUAUACCUUUGUCAAUAGCCAAAAGAUUCAUUACUCAUUUUCCCUGGUUAAAUUCUCUAACAGUAAUAAUAUACAUUGAACAAACACAUUCAAAGAAUAUUCACAGUGCACACAGGUUUAAUCUAAAUUUCUCUAAAUAUUUCCUAGCAGAACUCUGUUUUGUGUUCUUGAUCACGAUAAAAAACAUGUUUCCUUUUGAAUUGUAAAACUCUGAAUACUCUUUAAGUAUUUUCAUAUGAGAUAAAACAGCAGGGUUUUCUUCUCACAGUCUCAUUCUCAGAAAUGGUUGAAAUACUCAGAUUGAAAUAUUAGGGGGGAGAAAAGGUACAAUUCAGGUAAUAAGCAGAAUAAGGAACUUUCAUUUAAAACUGCUAACAAUUAGAAAAGUUCUAAGUAAUUGGAAGUAACGGCUUUGCACAUGAAGCAGAGUUCUGUUCAAGUUUGUCAUGGACAGCUUUGCCUAUAAAUAGUGAUGCAUGAGACGUUUUUAUUUUUGUCAAGUAUCUCAUAUGAAUACUUGCUAAAUUGUUGGUAUAAUUCCCAUCAGCAAGUUGGUUAGAAACUGACUAGUGCUAUUUGUUUCCUUGGGUUAUGUGACUAAUUUUAUUAUUCAUUAUUUAUAAUAAAAACAAUUAUGCUCUAAGCCAGGGCUCUGUAGGUAUGGCCAAGUACUCACACACUUUGCUCAUAGCAAUUUGCAGACUAAUAUGAAACAGGUCCCCACAAGCCAUGGCAACAAUAGCAGACAGUGAUCAAACUGCACAUGUCAGUGAACACAACAGCACUAAGAAUAUGCUUUCAUGGUGUCCUGGCUCUGUUUCUCUGCCAGUAGUUGAUCUCCGUGACACAAGUUCAGGCUUAGACCGUAACUUGGGAGUACUAAAUCACUGAAGAUUGUUUUAGAGGCAAAUAAAUCCAAUGUGUGCAUGUUCAUGAAUAGAUACACGGGCAUACCAUGUCUCAGGUGCUUUCUGAGCUCCGCUUUGGCGUUGCAGUGCUGGCAGGAGGCACUGCAGCAGCCGCAGCUCCUCGGCUGCAAGCACAGGAGGGCGAGGCUGCAAAUGCUCUGCCAUCAGCAGUUCCCAGGGUUUGGAUGUAACUCAAUAACAGAGACUUGUUUAUAGCUCAGACUUAAAAGCAUUUACACAGGCUGUCUGAAGUUGCUGAGGAUUCACAAAUUUUCCUGCAAUAGCUGUUGUCACAGUGACUGCAAGUAAAAUAGUCAUAUGGGUAAUAGCAAGAUCCUCAUUCUUGAAAUUAUUUGUAUCUAUGUAUUCAGCUACCUUAAAAUAACGUAUGCAAUGAGUAAACCAUAAACUUUUAUAUGGAGAAAU